Molecule: ribosomal RNA, 458 nt
Filed under: uncultured bacterium
Lineage: Bacteria
Description: bacterial SSU rRNA
Rfam family: Bacterial small subunit ribosomal RNA
Source: RNAcentral
UACGGGAGGCAGCAGGGGGAAUAUUGCACAAUGGGCGAAAGCCUGAUGCAGCUAUGCCGCGUGUAUGAAGAAGGCCUUAGGGUUGUAAAGUACUUUCAUCGGGGAGGAAAAAACAAAACUAAUAAUUUUAUUUCUUGACGUUACCCGAAAAAGAAGCACCGGCUAACUCCGUGCCAGCAGCCGCGGUAAUACGGAGGGUGCUAGCGUUAAUCAGAAUUACUGGGCGUAAAGAGCACGUAGGUGGUUUUUUUAAGUCAGAUGUGAAAUCCCUGGGCUUAACCUAGGAACUGCAUUUUGAAACUGAAAUACUAGAGUAUCGUAGAGGGAGGUAGAAUUCUAGGUGUAGCGGUGAAAUGCGUAGAUAUCUGGAGGAAUACCUGUGGCGAAAGCGGCCUCCUAAACGAAUACUGACACUGAGGGUGCGAAAAGCGUGGGGAGCAAAACAGGGAUUAGAUACC